This 253-nucleotide ribosomal RNA is filed under the name uncultured bacterium. RNAcentral's name for it is "partial 16S ribosomal RNA". It matches the Rfam family "Bacterial small subunit ribosomal RNA", at positions 524 to 776 of the family's 1533-position model. The record is from RNAcentral.
UACGUAGGGUGCGAGCGUUGUCCGGAAUUACUGGGCGUAAAGAGCUCGUAGGUGGUUUGUCGCGUUGUUCGUGAAAACCGGGGGCUUAACCCUCGGCGUGCGGGCGAUACGGGCAGACUUGAGUACUGCAGGGGAGACUGGAAUUCCUGGUGUAGCGGUGGAAUGCGCAGAUAUCAGGAGGAACACCGGUGGCGUAGGCGGGUCUCUGGGCAGUAACUGACGCUGAGGAGCGAAAGCGUGGGGAGCGAACAGG